CAGGUCAAGACAUGGGCGUGAUUGACAGGCUAAUGACUUUUCUCGAUUCCAUGGAUGGUGGUGCAUGGUCGCACUUAGUUGGUGCAGUGAUUUGUCAGGUUUAUUCCGGUAACGAACGAGACCUCGGCCUUGUAAAUAGCUAUGCUGCUUACAGGGACAUUGGCGGCUACGCCAAGGAAGCUCGAGGCAAUUGCAGAUCUGGAAUGCCCUUAGAUGUCCUGGGUCGCACGCGUGCUACAAUGACGCCACGAACGAGCUUGCGUGAUGAAAGUUACGCAUAAUCAGCAGUCGGCGUCUUAAGGGAUAGUCUCUUGUAACUGUGGGACUCCAACUAGGAAUGUCUCGUAAGCACAAGUCAACAUCUUGUGUUGAUUACGUCCCUGCUCUUUGUACACACCGCCCGUCGCUCCUACCGAUCGAGUGUUUAGGUGAAUUUGAUGGACGUAAGGAAGUCAAAUAAACCUGAGCACUAGAGAAGAGAAGCGACUGAGCCUAAGUAU
This 500-nucleotide ribosomal RNA is filed under the name uncultured Myrionecta. Its description in RNAcentral is "bacterial SSU rRNA". It matches the Rfam family "Eukaryotic small subunit ribosomal RNA", at positions 1219 to 1831 of the family's 1831-position model. Lineage: Eukaryota; Ciliophora; Litostomatea; Cyclotrichida; Mesodiniidae. The record is from RNAcentral.